Molecule: unclassified non-coding RNA, 376 nt
Filed under: soil metagenome
Description: partial contains 5.8S ribosomal RNA, internal transcribed spacer 2, and large subunit ribosomal RNA
Rfam family: 5.8S ribosomal RNA (bases 1-120)
Source: RNAcentral
GAUGAAGAACGCAGCGAAAUGCGAUAAGUAAUGUGAAUUGCAGAAUUCAGUGAAUCAUCGAAUCUUUGAACGCAUCUUGCGCUCCUUGGUAUUCUGAGGAGCAUGCCUGUUUGAGUGUCAUUAAAUUCUCAACUACACUGACUUUGAAUUGGUGUGGCUUGGAUUUAGGGGGAAAAUUGUUGUGGGCUUUUUGUAUAGUCUGCUCCCCUGAAAUUGAUUAGCGGUACCUUUGUGGAACUGUCUACAGGUGUGAUAAUUAUCUACAUCUUAGACAUCUGCUGGAAUGCUGCUUUCUAAACCUUACUUGUAUUGACAAUCUUGACCUCAAAUCAGGUAGGACUACCCGCUGAACUUAAGCAUAUCUAUAAGCGGAGGA